This 65-nucleotide small RNA is filed under the name Xanthomonas fragariae. RNAcentral describes it as "sX9 sRNA". It matches the Rfam family "Xanthomonas sRNA sX9". The record is from RNAcentral. Lineage: Bacteria; Pseudomonadati; Pseudomonadota; Gammaproteobacteria; Lysobacterales; Lysobacteraceae.
AUGUACCACGCGUACACUCCGGUUCCUCUGCGCCCACCUGACGACUGCUCGCCACGUCGUGAGUU